Molecule: ribosomal RNA, 253 nt
Filed under: uncultured bacterium
Lineage: Bacteria
Description: partial 16S ribosomal RNA
Rfam family: Bacterial small subunit ribosomal RNA
Source: RNAcentral
CACGGGGGGAGCAAGCGUUGUUCGGAAUCACUGGGCGUAAAGGGCGUGUAGGCGGUCUAGUAAGUGGAAUGUGAAAUCCCUCGGCUCACCCGAGGACCUGCAUCCCAUACUGCUAGGCUUGAGUACGGAAGAGGCGAGUGGAAUUCCUGGUGUAGCGGUGAAAUGCGCAGAUAUCAGGAGGAACACCAAUUGCGAAGGCAGCUCGCUGGGACGUUACUGACGCUGAGACGCGAAAGCGUGGGGAGCAAACAGG